GUCAUCUGCUCUUCAGGGCUUCCUCCCCAAGUUGUUCGUGCUUUGGCUUGAAACAAGUGCAACUCCCGAAUGGCUACUUUCACCGGUGCGGUGGCUCUUUGCGUGCUUUUGAAUACCGCGUUGCUGUUCUCAGCCGAAGCACAAGAACCACAACAUGGGAACACUGAAGACUCCUCUACUGUGCCGGGAGAAACCAACACAGGCACGGAGCUUACUAUGGCGAUGCGAAGUGACGACAAGAUAGCAGAAGCUGUCCCUGUCGGAGGUCCAGAUAAGGAUUGAGGCGCGCGGCAUCAGCCGUGCAAUCGCCACCUGUGAAGGAUGCGUGGUGUAAUUAAAGCAUCAUUCCGGAUGGGAA
Ornithodoros turicata is the source of this 358-nucleotide long non-coding RNA. RefSeq lists it as uncharacterized. The record is from RefSeq and is a predicted model, not a curated record. Lineage: Eukaryota; Metazoa; Arthropoda; Arachnida; Ixodida; Argasidae. The transcript has 3 exons.